CAGCCGCCGCGGUAAUACGUAGGGUGCGAGCGUUAAUCGGAAUUACUGGGCGUAAAGCGUGCGCAGGCGGUUCGUUAAGACAGAUGUGAAAUCCCCGGGCUUUACCUGGGAACUGCAUUUGUGACUGGCGAGCUAGAGUAUGGCAGAGGGGGGUAGAAUUCCACGUGUAGCAGUGAAAUGCGUAGAGAUGUGGAGGAAUACCGAUGGCGAAGGCAGCCCCCUGGGCCAAUACUGACGCUCAUGCACGAAAGCGUGGGGAGCAAACAGGAUUAGAUACCCGAGUAGUCCCUGUCUCUUAUAC
RNAcentral lists this ribosomal RNA (301 nucleotides) under uncultured bacterium. RNAcentral's name for it is "partial 16S ribosomal RNA". It matches the Rfam family "Bacterial small subunit ribosomal RNA", at positions 509 to 807 of the family's 1533-position model. The record is from RNAcentral.